Molecule: ribosomal RNA, 699 nt
Filed under: uncultured Nocardioides sp.
Lineage: Bacteria; Bacillati; Actinomycetota; Actinomycetes; Propionibacteriales; Nocardioidaceae
Description: bacterial SSU rRNA
Rfam family: Bacterial small subunit ribosomal RNA
Source: RNAcentral
CGAACGGGUGAGUAACACGUGAGUAAUCUGCCCCUGGCUUCGGGAUAGCCACCGGAAACGGUGAUUAAUACCGGAUAUGACAUGGACUCGCAUGGGUUUGUGUGGAAAGUUUUUCGGCCAGGAAUGUGCUCGCGGCCUAUCAGCUUGAUGGUGAGGUAAUGGCUCACCAUGGCUUCGACGGGUAGCCGGCCUGAGAGGGUGACCGGCCACACUGGGACUGAGACACGGCCCAGACUCCUACGGGAGGCAGCAGUGGGGAAUAUUGGACAAUGGGCGGAAGCCUGAUCCAGCAACGCCGCGUGAGGGAUGACGGCCUUCGGGUUGUAAACCUCUUUCAGUACCGACGAAGCGCAAGUGACGGUAGGUACAGAAGAAGCACCGGCCAACUACGUGCCAGCAGCCGCGGUAAUACGUAGGGUGCGAGCGUUGUCCGGAAUUAUUGGGCGUAAAGGGCUCGUAGGCGGUUUGUCGCGUCGGGAGUGAAAACGCCGUGCUUAACACGGCGCUUGCUUCCGAUACGGGCAGACUAGAGGUAUUCAGGGGAGAACGGAAUUCCUGGUGUAGCGGUGAAAUGCGCAGAUAUCAGGAGGAACACCGGUGGCGAAGGCGGUUCUCUGGGAAUGACCUGACGCUGAGGAGCGAAAGUGUGGGGAGCGAACAGGAUUAGAUACCCUGGUAGUCCACACCGUAAACGUUGGG